RNAcentral lists this non-coding RNA (23 nucleotides) under Cricetulus griseus (Chinese hamster). The record is from RNAcentral. Lineage: Eukaryota; Metazoa; Chordata; Mammalia; Rodentia; Cricetidae.
GGUUUUUCAACUGGGAGGACUGC